GGCAAUCGCUUAACCAACUGAGCCACCCAGGGGCCCCAGGAGAGCAGGUGAAGAACAGAGGUUCAGUGAGGUAAAUUAAGAAUAGAAGUUGCUAAGCCCAAUAAUGGACUGAAUCAGGUAAGUGCCAUUUCUAACUUCAUCUGAUGGAUGAGAAACAGCACACAGAUUAAAUAAUUGUUCACUUUCACAAGCUGCAAAGGUAGGGUUCAAAUCCUGACAGUCAGGCUCCACAAGCCAUCCUCUUUACCAAGCUCGCAUAGAGUCUCUCAUUAAAAAAGAUUCAUAGGCCCCUCCACAGCCCAAAGGUAUACAUUUUAAACAAGAUCCCAAGGUGAUUCUUCUAUGCACUGGUUUGAAAACCAUUACUGUAGAUUUGUUCAAACAGAAAAUAGUAGAUGAGUGCCCUCUGGUGUAUAUACCUGAGCAUUACACAUUUGUUGGUGUUGAAUCAGAUCUUUUAUCAUUUUGUACAAAAUAGCCAAAUUUCAAGAUGUACAAAUUUUAAGGGCUGUAUUAGGAUAAAUUAUUUCCAUGUCAAUGUCUUAACUUAUGAAUGCUACCUUAAAUUGAUUUUUGUCUCAAAAGGAUUCUAUAAAUAUUGCCAGAUAACUGUCUCUCUCAUCAGACCUCAGCAGGUCCUGGGAAUUCAAUUUAAAUAAUGGAAGGCUCCAAUCCAACAAGUUUGUUAGGAAUGAAGGCUCAUAUCCUUAGUGCACAGUAGGUGGUAAUUGGGAACCGCCACAUUCACUGUGUUCAAGGGGCAGAUUUUACUCAUCCUAUUUGUGGUGGCUUCACUGCAUCAUUAAUUGUCCUCAGUAGGUCCCACUCAGUUUAUUAUGUCAGAAAAGGAUUAGACUCAGGCCCUUCUACUUUUCUCUUGUCCUCUUUAGAAUAAGUUGGAAGGGAGGAGAAUCCAUUCACUCUUUAGUAUGAUGUGUAAAAAUCCCCUGUUUACUAUGUUAGGCUAUUGCUUAUUCCCCAUCAGGAAGCCAUCCAUAUAUUUUUUAGGUUAGAGUUAUGUUUGUAACAAAAAGACCCAAAAUGUAAUGGUCGAAACAAGAUUGACUUUUAUUCUCUCUGAAAUAACUAUCCAGAGAUAGUAGUCCAUGUAGCGAAGCUCUGACACCCAUGCUCAACACACAGUUCCAUUUCUGGGUUCAAAAUGUCGGCUCCACGUCCUGCUCUUGCAUCUGUAUCCCAGCCAGUGGAGAAGAAGCCAGGGAAGAGCACAUCGAUUCUUUUAAAGGACAAAACCCGAAGUGGCAGACAACAGCUUUACCCACAACCCACUGACCAGAAUUUGGUCAUAAGCUCUAAGAGAGUAUGGGAACAUGGUCCUUAGUGAGGCAGCUACCUGGCCCACGAAACCUGUAGUACCAUCAUUAAAGGAAGAAAGGCAACGUGGAAUCUCAGCAGUUGUCUCUACUACAAACCACUGCCUCUAUUUGGAUAUUUCUUAUGUCAUUUUCUAAGCAGCCAGUUACUUACAGAAAAUAGUCAAGAAAAUAAGUCUCAGGUAUUCCAAGAAUUCCAGUUAAUAAAACGAUAACAUUUUUACACAGAUGCUGUGAACUGAGAACCUUGUUUGC
Long non-coding RNA from Zalophus californianus (California sea lion), 1589 nucleotides. RefSeq lists it as uncharacterized. The transcript has 3 exons. Lineage: Eukaryota; Metazoa; Chordata; Mammalia; Carnivora; Otariidae. The record is from RefSeq and is a predicted model, not a curated record.